GUCGACGGUGAUGGAGAGCUUGCUCUUCGGAUCAGUGGCGAACGGGUGAGUAACACGUGAGCAAUCUGCCCCUGACUCUGGGAUAAGCGCUGGAAACGGCGUCUAAUACUGGAUAUGAGCUGCGAUCGCAUGGUCAGCAGUUGGAAAGAACUUCGGUCAGGGAUGAGCUCGCGGCCUAUCAGCUUGUUGGUGAGGUAAUGGCUCACCAAGGCGUCGACGGGUAGCCGGCCUGAGAGGGUGACCGGCCACACUGGGACUGAGACACGGCCCAGACUCCUACGGGAGGCAGCAGUGGGGAAUAUUGCACAAUGGGCGCAAGCCUGAUGCAGCAACGCCGCGUGAGGGACGACGGCCUUCGGGUUGUAAACCUCUUUUAGCAGGGAAGAAGCGAAAGUGACGGUACCUGCAGAAAAAGCACCGGCUAACUACGUGCCAGCAGCCGCGGUAAUACGUAGGGUGCAAGCGUUAUCCGGAAUUAUUGGGCGUAAAGAGCUCGUAGGCGGUUUGUCGCGUCUGCUGUGAAAACCCGAGGCUCAACCUCGGGCCUGCAGUGGGUACGGGCAGACUAGAGUGCGGUAGGGGAGAUUGGAAUUCCUGGUGUAGCGGUGGAAUGCGCAGAUAUCA
Molecule: ribosomal RNA, 624 nt
Filed under: Microbacterium sp. H1.25
Lineage: Bacteria; Bacillati; Actinomycetota; Actinomycetes; Micrococcales; Microbacteriaceae
Description: bacterial SSU rRNA
Rfam family: Bacterial small subunit ribosomal RNA
Source: RNAcentral